CAAGCACAGUGAUGUGUAAAACAUCCCUGCUAUGCCACCCUUGACGCAGCUUGAUUUGCCACAGGCUUCAGGGUGUAAAUGACUUGAAGCAGCCUGAACUGUGAGCAUUGCCAAAGCCUACAUGUGUGAACCCAGAUACGGUCCUUGGGAUUUGGGAUUUUUCAAAGAUAUUAUUUAUUGUUCAUCACUUACCAGAACCUCCAGUGAUCCGAAAAGCAAGCAUGUGGUGAAUCUGUUCAAGUAAGUAUCUGAGAUGAAGCCUCCAACGAGGGAAAGCAAGUAGGUUGAACCCAUAAAGUUUGUGAGGGUGUUGGCUGAGCUGGCCAGAUCAAAGUGCAUCACUCCAUAAAAGUAUAGGACUAUGCUCACCAUGUUUGCCACAAAACCCAUGUUGUCCAAUGCUGACAAGACUACAAUGAACAAGGGAAAGGGGGUGAAAAAAGCUUAAUAUAUAUCUUGCAAUCAAAUCAUACAACAGAGUUUAGUGUCUUCUCCUUUUGCUUUUGCAUACCAAAAAUGAACAUGGAAGCCAUGAAUCCUCCUUUGCUUCUCUUCCAUUGGUUGAGGGGCCUUUGUUCUUCUUUGGCAUCAUGGUCAGCCUGUAUGAAAAGAUUUGAAACUCAUUAAUCAACAAUACACACACAGAGAGAAGAUAAAGGUGAGAUAAGGAGGAUUGAGUAUAACAGAAAGAAUGAGUGACCAGUCCUUGUGGCUUACCAUUCUAGAGAUUUUGGAGAAAGUGUGUUUUAGACAGGAAUGGAGUGUUCAGGGGAAAUGGUGUUUAUGAACAUAUAGCCGAAAAAGGAAGCUUUCGAGAAAAAGAUAGAGCUCAGACAAGGAUGGUAAAGAGAGAACAACUUUGAGCAUAAAAUGCACAAGAGGGCCUAGUUUAUAAUUUCCAUGACCUUAAAUUGAUUCCCUGUAUCCUUCACUAAUUGUCCUCCAUGCUACUCAUCAUGCUCUCUGUCCCUCCUUUUUCAAGGCCUCUUAGCUCACUAGUUUGGCAUUUUCAAAUCCAAAACAGAAAAGAAAGAUUUGGGUAGUAUUCUUGACAGGGUAUCCCUCAACACUCACUGAUUAGGAGGCACAACUGGCUUAAGGCUGUUAAUUGUGGAUGCUUAAUCAAUCAAUUAUCUUAAUCAACCCAACAUGCUUGCCCCACUCCACUCCAUCUAUCUGCUUGUCUUCGUUGAACAAUCCAUUGCUAGCAUUUAUCUACUUCCAGAGCCAGAAGCUUUCAUGGGUCAAAUUGAAAGGAAAAGACUGCUUUACGAAAUUGCGUA
Molecule: long non-coding RNA, 1283 nt
Organism: Vigna angularis (adzuki bean)
Lineage: Eukaryota; Viridiplantae; Streptophyta; Magnoliopsida; Fabales; Fabaceae
Exons: 2
Source: RefSeq, a predicted model, not a curated record